This 71-nucleotide transfer RNA is filed under the name Marmota monax (woodchuck). Its description in RNAcentral is "tRNA.Ala". Lineage: Eukaryota; Metazoa; Chordata; Mammalia; Rodentia; Sciuridae. The record is from RNAcentral.
GUGGAUGUAGCUCGGUGAUAGAGCCCUUGUCUAGCACAUGUGAGGUGCUGGGUUCGAUCCUCAGCACCAUA